GCUUUUGUACACACCGCCCGUCGCUACUACCGAUUGAAUGAUUUAGUGAGGUCUUCGGACUGGUACGCGGCAUCGACUCUGUCGUUGCCGAUGCUACCGGAAAGAUGACCAAACUUGAUCAUUUAGAGGAAGUAAAAGUCGUAACAAAGUUUCCGUAGGUGAACCUGCGGAAGGAUCAUUA
RNAcentral lists this ribosomal RNA (181 nucleotides) under Stauroderus scalaris. RNAcentral describes it as "partial 18S ribosomal RNA". It matches the Rfam family "Eukaryotic small subunit ribosomal RNA", at positions 1656 to 1831 of the family's 1831-position model. Lineage: Eukaryota; Metazoa; Arthropoda; Insecta; Orthoptera; Acrididae. The record is from RNAcentral. RNAcentral also lists the same sequence under 1 other name.